Nemania sp. FL0031 is the source of this 112-nucleotide non-coding RNA. NCBI's taxonomy places the organism in Eukaryota, Fungi, Ascomycota, Sordariomycetes, Xylariales, Xylariaceae. The record is from the annotation of a GenBank genome assembly.
GGGUGUUUGGCCGAGUGGUUAAGGCGCUGUGUUUAGGUCGUCGCCAGGUUCUUCCUAGCGUACCUCAAACCCGCAGUGGGAAACCGCGCAGGUUCGAAUCCUGCAGCACUCA